Molecule: ribosomal RNA, 459 nt
Filed under: uncultured bacterium
Lineage: Bacteria
Description: partial 16S ribosomal RNA
Rfam family: Bacterial small subunit ribosomal RNA
Source: RNAcentral
CCUACGGGAGGCAGCAGUGAGGAAUAUUGGUCAAUGGGCGAGAGCCUGAACCAGCCAAGCCGCGUGAGGGAAGACGGCCCUGUGGGUUGUAAACCUCUUUUGUCAGGGAACAAAGCCCGGGACGCGUCCCCGGCUGCGUGUACCCGAAGAAAAAGCAUCGGCUAACUCCGUGCCAGCAGCCGCGGUAAUACGGGGGAUGCGAGCGUUAUCCGGAUUUAUUGGGUUAAAAGGGUGCGUAGGCGGUCUGUUAAGUCCGCGGUAAAAUUCCGGGGCUCAACCCCGUCCCGCCGUUGAAACUGGCAGUCUUGAGUUGGCGAGAAGUAGGCGGAAUGCGCGGUGUAGCGGUGAAAUGCAUAGAUAUCGCGCAGAACUCCGAUUGCGAAGGCAGCGUACCGGCGCCAGACUGACGCUGAGGCACGAAAGCGUGGGUAUCGAACAGGAUUAGAUACCCUUGUAGUC